GCCUGUGACAUCAACAUUCUAGAAAGUGGGACAGGAGGGCCUGGAGUUAGAGGACAGUCUGGGCUAUGUAAUUUGACUAUGUCACAAAAGUGGGGAGAUAAAAGGGGGGAUGAGCGAAAAAAUGAAGGUGAAGGCUGUAUAGCAGGAUCAACCAUGGUGGUAGCUACUCCUGGAAGCUGUAAUUUGCCGAUUUGUAAUUUUUUUUCUGUAUUGUUAAAAUCUCUGCCCUGUCUGUCCUGUUCCUUAACCUCAUUCUUCAUUUCCCCCUCACGUUGGAGCUAGAUUCUCACAAGGUAGCUCAGGCUUCAGAUUCAGACUCUCUAGUGUUGGGAUUACAGGUAAUGAAGCUACUGUUGCUUGUCCAGGCCACACUUUCAGAAGUGUUGGUUUAGCAUGCCUGCCUGGAACACAGAAACUCAGAGACAGAAAGUGGACAACUGCCAUGGAACUGAAAGGACACAGAUUCCUGUCACCUGGUGGAUCCCAUGAGUCACAUGGUGGAUCCCAUGAGUCACAUGAUAGAUCCCAUGAGUCCUAAGCCACUGAACACGGCCACUCCAUCGCCCUCCACUUUGUCUUUGGGUGUUGCUGACCUGUGUGAACUCAUAAGUGAGGACUUAAAGUGCUCCCAGUGUCUUUCAUAGCCCUGCUUUGCUCUGGCUAGGCUAGCCUAGCUUACAGCAGCCCCAUGCAACAUCUCAUUCCCUCUACUAACAGCAGACCGAAGCUGUAAGAGGCAGGUAUGAACACCAGGGCCACCGCCCUCCACAGAGGCUACGCCCUGAGUGGGCCUCUUACUGUGCUCAAUGCCCUGUGAGUUGACCCAGCUGGAAUUGGUAAAUAAUACAGCUCUUCCCUUACCAGAACGUGCAAAGCCCUCACAAAGUGGAUUCCACGUUCCUUCGCCGGGAAUGGCUGCUCCAGUUCCACUAUGGAAAUCACAGACAGGAAACACAAGGCUUGGAGGUCUUCUGAGUCUCCUUCAGCUCUGUUCUCAAGUUUAAAGGCUCCAUAGUAUGCACGAUACUGUUGGGGAGGAAAAAUCGUCACACAGAUAAAGAAGGCUGACAGAAGGAAGGCAUUCCAUCAUGUUGUUUGUCUUAGCCUGGAAUUCUCACGCUAUGGCUGAUGGAUGUGGAUGAGGAGCCUGAGGAGGAGCCUGAGAGACCUCGGGGAGACGCAUCUGACUGACUCCCUCACGGCUGCUCUGCAGUCUCAGGUUCCAGGACGUUGCGAGACUACGAAGACCCCAGGCUUCCCCACAUUCUUUAGCUAGUGUCUUUACGUGCACACUUUUCUUUAUUCAGUCCUACCUACCUUCUGUCCACUAUUAUCAGUUUACUUAGAAAUAACUAGCAGACAUAUGGACACACCAGUGGAAUGGGGGUUUGAAUAGAAGUAAAAAGACAGGAAAUAUGAUCAUUAAAACUUAUGAGGUAACCAGAUGAAAGUCCUGGCCAUCUCAUGUAAAUUGGUCUUUUUCUUAAGGUAGAUUCUAUGUAAAAUGGGAGUAGGAGGUACCCAAAUAUAGAUGCCUGCUUACCUGUGUCCAGCCUCCUUCUAUGCCUUGAUGUCACCUGAGUCCUUGCAGUUUCCUCAGAGCUCUGUGAAGUGCCUCAAAUCAUGACUCUCCCUGCUCACCUUCAGGUCACACUGCUACCUAGAUAGGCACAACUCCAGACCACCAUCUGAGGCUGGAUACUUUUUCUUAUGGCAUUAGACUUCCCCUGCCUACUAGAUCCUAAAUCCACAAUGAAACAAAUCAACCCAAUGGAACCCAAACUUCAGAAAUCCAAAAUUAGUGGGAUAGUUGUGGUUAAGAGCACUGAAGGCCACCCAGGAACAUGUCUCAGAAAAGAUGCACGUUCCCAGAACCAAUCUUCUUAGCCUCUGACUCCCUCUCUGCAUCAUUUCAGAGCAUAAGUGUGUUUUACAUCACACUCACCUGAUACUGAUAUAUGGACACUGUCUCUCUUUAUUCCUGCUUCAUAAUAUUACUAUUGAGCAAUAAUAUUGACUAGUGACUACUUAGACCCUCCACUUCCUUGGCAUGGUUCUAUGUCUUUUAAGGGUUUCAUGUUCUUACAAAAGGCUUGUGUGUAAAGACAGUCAUCGUCUUCCUUUUACAAACCUGGAAAUGGGUUAAACAGACAAACAGCACUGUCCUUCAGAUCAACUUCAAAUAUUAUCCCUUCUAGGAGCCUCACUGAGAUGGUGGCUAAAGGUCUAAGCAUCCAGGUUAGAGUCUUCUCUUCAGACACAUGGCUUUCAGGGAAGAUGUGGUUUUCCUAGUUUUACGGGAAGGACACUGUGCCUGGUUUCCAGGAUUCUCAGGAAGUCAGAAUGAGGUGCUGUGAAGAAAGCUUCAAGAACAGGGUGUGUUACUUUCUCAACCAGAAGGUGGCCCUUUAAUCUGCCAAGUUCUCCUUUAGCCUUCACCAUUCUUUUCCCUUGUAGCCUGUGAAGAUGCAUAGGAUGUUUCUCUCUUCUUUAUCUCACUCAGCUACAGAGUGUGCUGGAUGAGGUAGGUAGGAUGAAGUCCAACAUCUACUGAAAGGAUAUGGCUCAGACCACAACCUUAUAUUGAUUUUAAAACCAAAGAUUUCACAGAUGUUAGUUUCCUCCUCAGAGAGGAGUGUGAUGAAAUGUAAUUCCAACCAAAAUUCCAACCAUGCAAGAAAGCUUGAUAAAGUAAUGGGUCUUUUAUAAUUAAAUAAAAACUUUUUAUUCUUUUCU
This 2736-nucleotide long non-coding RNA is filed under the name Mus caroli (Ryukyu mouse). RNAcentral's name for it is "predicted gene 17173 (MGP_CAROLIEiJ_G0002871.1)". The record is from RNAcentral. Lineage: Eukaryota; Metazoa; Chordata; Mammalia; Rodentia; Muridae.